Mus caroli (Ryukyu mouse) is the source of this 1772-nucleotide non-coding RNA. The record is from RefSeq and is a predicted model, not a curated record. Lineage: Eukaryota; Metazoa; Chordata; Mammalia; Rodentia; Muridae.
UAAUGCGAGAGGAAGAGAUGCGGAGGGGUGGAAAAUGGCAGAACUGCAGAUGUUACUAGAGGAGGAGAUCCCGUCUGGCAAGAGGGCGCUGAUUGAGAGUUACCAGAACCUGACCUGGGUGGCGGACUACUGUGAAAACAACUAUAUACAGGCUACAGAUAAGAGAAAAGCUCUAGAAGAGACCAAAGCAUAUACAACUCAAUCUCUAGCUAGUGUUGCUUAUCAAAUAAAUGCAUUGGCCAACAAUGUGCUCCAGCUGCUGGAUAUCCAAGCAUCUCAGCUGCGGAGGAUGGAGUCAUCCAUCAAUCACAUCUCACAGACUGUGGAUAUUCAUAAAGAAAAAGUGGCUCGAAGAGAGAUUGGUAUUUUGACAACAAAUAAGAAUACAUCAAGAACUCACAAAAUAAUCGCACCCGCAAAUAUGGAGCGUCCUGUCAGGUAUAUUCGGAAACCUAUCGACUAUACAGUUCUGGAUGAUGUGGGCCAUGGACUUAAGCACGGAAAUAACCAGCCUGCAAGAACUGGCACAUUGUCGAGAACAAAUCCUCCCACGCAGAAACCACCAAGCCCUCCCGUGUCAGGCCGAGGAACUUUGGGACGGAACACCCCUUACAAAACCCUAGAGCCUGUUAAGCCGCCAACAGUUCCCAAUGACUACAUGACUAGUCCUGUGAGGCUUGGAAGCCAGCAUAGUCCAGGCAGGACAGCUUCUUUAAAUCAGAGACCAAGGACGCAUAGUGGAAGUAGUGGAGGAAGCGGAAGCCGAGAGAACAGUGGGAGCAGCAGCAUUGGCAUUCCUAUUGCUGUGCCUAUGCCCUCACCGCCCACUGCGGGCCCAGUUGCUGAUAGCCCAACUCCACCACCACCCCCUCCACCAGAUGACAUUCCCAUGUUUGAUGACUCUCCGCCUCCUCCGCCACCUCCUCCUGUGGACUAUGAAGAUGAGGAAGCUGCAGUAGUUCAGUAUAGUGACCCAUAUGCAGAUGGGGACCCUGCAUGGGCUCCCAAGAACUAUAUUGAGAAAGUUGUUGCAAUAUAUGAUUAUACAAAAGACAAAGAUGAUGAGCUGUCCUUUAAAGAGGGUGCAAACAUCUAUGUUAUAAAGAAGAAUGAUGAUGGCUGGUUUGAAGGAGUUUGCAAUCGAGUGACUGGACUCUUCCCUGGGAACUAUGUUGAAUCAAUCAUGCACUAUAAUGAUUAGUUUUUCUUCUUUUCAUGUAGGUUAUUACUCCGUCAUACUGUGGGACUAUAUGGUUAACAGAAUUGUUUUAAUGUUUAAAAUGUGCCCAUGUUUUCAAGGACAUGUUUUAUUGGUAUAUUUGGAUGUCUACCUGUAAGCAUAAAUUUUGGAGGCAGUUCAAACAUUGCUGAACAGCAGUUUAUAUGCCUAUAAUUGAUUAUGCAUAUGUACUCACACCUUGCUAAGUUUAUGGCCAGCCUAAAAAUUCUGGAGAUGUGGGUUAUUACAUUUAACAAAUCAUGGUUCAGAAUGCACCAUUACAUGUUUCAGUGCAGCAUGGUCACUAACAUUGUGUCAGACUAAUAGAAAAAAACAGAAAACGUCAAUGCUGGUGCUGUUCAUAAUUUUGGUUUCAAUUCUCAUUUUUAAAAAAAUACUGUGUUUAAAGCAUGCAUAAAUUUUUAUGUAUUGAAAUAUACUUAACAAUUCAAGAUGCUUCCAAUUUGUGUAACGAUUAUCUGGAGUACUCAUACUUGAGUCUCUUAAGCACUCCAUGUGAAAUGAAAGACUAUCUGUAAUGUUGUAAUUUGUA